This 68-nucleotide signal recognition particle RNA is filed under the name Paracoccaceae bacterium. RNAcentral describes it as "Rhodobacteraceae bacterium (hydrothermal vent metagenome) partial signal recognition particle sRNA small type". It matches the Rfam family "Bacterial small signal recognition particle RNA", at positions 1 to 68 of the family's 97-position model. From Rfam's summary of the family: The signal recognition particle (SRP) is a universally conserved ribonucleoprotein involved in the co-translational targeting of proteins to membranes. Archaeal SRP consists of a 7S RNA and homologues of the eukaryotic SRP19 and SRP54 proteins. Lineage: Bacteria; Pseudomonadati; Pseudomonadota; Alphaproteobacteria; Rhodobacterales; Paracoccaceae. The record is from RNAcentral.
GAGAGGUUGGUGCGGGCGAGCGCCUCGCCAACCCGGUCAGGUCCGGAAGGAAGCAGCCGCAACGAGUU